GACGAACGCUGGCGGCGUGCUUAACACAUGCAAGUCGAACGGAAAGGCCCUGCUUUUGUGGGGUGCUCGAGUGGCGAACGGGUGAGUAACACGUGAGUAACCUGCCCUUGACUUUGGGAUAACUUCAGGAAACUGGGUCUAAUACCGGAUAGGAGCUCCUGCUGCAUGGUGGGGGUUGGAAAGUUUCGGCGGUUGGGGAUGGACUCGCGGCUUAUCAGCUUGUUGGUGGGGUAGUGGCUUACCAAGGCUUUGAAGGGUAGCCGGCCUGAGAGGGUGACGGGCCACAUUGGGACUGAGAUACGGACCAGACUCCUACGCGAGGCAGCAGUGGGGAAUAUUGCACAAUGGGCGGAAGCCUGAUGCAGAACCGCCGAGUGCGGGAUGACGGCCUUCGGGUUGUAAACCGCUUUCGCCUGUGCCGAAGCGUGUGUGACGGUAAUGGGUAAAGAAGCACCGGCUAACUACGUG
This 468-nucleotide ribosomal RNA is filed under the name uncultured bacterium. RNAcentral's name for it is "partial 16S ribosomal RNA". It matches the Rfam family "Bacterial small subunit ribosomal RNA", at positions 28 to 507 of the family's 1533-position model. The record is from RNAcentral.